This is a non-coding RNA of Python bivittatus (Burmese python), 567 nucleotides long. NCBI's taxonomy places the organism in Eukaryota, Metazoa, Chordata, Lepidosauria, Squamata, Pythonidae. The record is from RefSeq and is a predicted model, not a curated record.
UUUUGAGACAUAGUCCUUAUUUUUUUCGAUGUGCUCCAAAGUACAGAUGCAGAGCUGCUAUUUGGCAAGCAAUCACAAUUGUUGCGUGAAGCACCACCUGCUUGGUUUCAUUCACUCCUUCCUGCCCAGUCAAGCAAGAACAGGGGAGAAGGAGGCAGCUGAUGUUUAGCAGACAAGAGCCUUCCCUUGAAAACCCCGGGACCCAUCCUGGCCUUGUUUGAAGAAACCUAGGAAAAGGUUCUUAUUAGCCUUCACCUAUUCUGCACCAAGAGAGCCCCAGGCUCCGGAAUUCUUCUGCUAUGGAAAAAUCAAGAUCUUUGUUCCAGGAAAUAAUUGGCUACAAGAUGCUCUUUGUCUUCUUCCUACUUUUUAACACAGAUAUUCUUGUAGAUGGACAAACUGCAAUCCAGCCUGUUAGCACAGAAAUUGUGAUCGCCAGCACAGAAAUGUCAAGCCAUUUUUAUGAAAGCUCCCCAACUUUGGUAUUUCCGAAUCCUACCGUUUUUUCAAAUGUUUCCACAGUAUCUGUUAAAUCACCUCCUGAAGCCACCACAUCUAGCACUCCUA